This 665-nucleotide ribosomal RNA is filed under the name uncultured Bacilli bacterium. RNAcentral describes it as "bacterial SSU rRNA". It matches the Rfam family "Bacterial small subunit ribosomal RNA", at positions 72 to 725 of the family's 1533-position model. The record is from RNAcentral. Lineage: Bacteria; Bacillati; Bacillota; Bacilli.
GGAGGAGCUUGCUCUUCUGGAUGAGUUGCGAACGGGUGAGUAACGCGUAGGUAACCUGCCUGGUAGCGGGGGAUAACUAUUGGAAACGAUAGCUAAUACCGCAUAAGAGUAGAUAUCGCAUGAUAGCUGCUUGAAAGGUGCAAUUGCACCACUACCAGAUGGACCUGCGUUGUAUUAGCUAGUGGUGAGGUAACGGCUCACCAAGGCAACGAUACAUAGCCGACCUGAGAGGGUGAUCGGCCACACUGGGACUGAGACACGGCCCAGACUCCUACGGGAGGCAGCAGUAGGGAAUCUUCGGCAAUGGACGAAAGUCUGACCGAGCAACGCCGCGUGAGUGAAGAAGGUUUUCGGAUCGUAAAGCUCUGUUGUAAGAGAAGAACGAGUGUGAGAGUGGAAAGUUCACACUGUGACGGUAUCUUACCAGAAAGGGACGGCUAACUACGUGCCAGCAGCCGCGGUAAUACGUAGGUCCCGAGCGUUGUCCGGAUUUAUUGGGCGUAAAGCGAGCGCAGGCGGUUAGAUAAGUCUGAAGUUAAAGGCUGUGGCUUAACCAUAGUACGCUUUGGAAACUGUUUAACUUGAGUGCAAGAGGGGAGAGUGGAAUUCCAUGUGUAGCGGUGAAAUGCGUAGAUAUAUGGAGGAACACCGGUGGCGAAAGCGGC